GAGGUUGGGUGAGAAAGAGACGUGUUUCAUCAUUAUCAAGCAGGUACAAUAGCCCCAAGGGGGCAAGGCUGAAGAGGUUAGGAUGAGAAAAAAAUCGUAUAAAAGGAGCGAGAGAAAGCGACUGAAAGCAGUUGAGAGAGUACCACCGACACGGCAACAACUGCAGUGCUCCAUCUGUCACCAACUGCGUUCCUCAUCGUGUAACAUAUACGUAAUCACGGUUAACCAUGGAGUUGUGCUGCUGUUGGGUGUUGUAUCGUUGAUGGCUGGGUCGAAUACGAGGUUACCGAAUACCGAUGUCUCCUGAGUGGUGAAUAUCAAUUAUCAAGCAACAGCAGCCCAAGAAUAGUACACGACGUUGCCGCCUUAACACACAAUAACGUCAACAUACGCAACACCUAUCCUACUUACACUACUGAGCGUUAACUUGUUAAGUACUACACCACCAAGGCUCCAGAGUACUACACGAAAACUGACUACGCUGCUCUACCUUACUGUAAUGAUUCACCGAAGUACUAUUCUGAUCAUAGCGACUACACCGAAGAUGCAACUUACUACACCACCAAAGCAGUUGAGUACUACACCAAAGCGUCCAAGUACUACACUGCAACCUACUGCAGCGCACUAUUUGUCAUUAACUGCCUUCUUCGUCGUAUGCAAUCAGUUGGCAAUCAUUGGUAUGGCGGUGUGCUGCUGUUGGGUGUUGCAUCGUUGAUGGCUGGGUCGACCACUGGUGUAACAAUGUCCCCUGAGAAUGGUGGGUAGCAAACCGCAACACCGCCGCAUUACUACACAACAACCUACUUAAAGACCGAGGCCCUCAAUUACUACACCACUAAGGCAAAGGAGUAUUAUACCACUACUUACGCUGGCCCUAGCUACUACACCGACGCCCCGAAGUAUUAUUCUGUCCCAAGCUACACCACCAAGGCUCCCAAGUACUACACCGAGGCCCAUUAUUACUACAACACCGAAGCGCUCAAGUACUGCACUGCUACCCACACUGCCCGAGCAACUACACCGAAGCCAGAAGAGCCGAAGCCGAAGAGACCAAAUACUACACUGCAACCUACGCUGCCCCAGCUUACACCAGCAAGGCAGCGGAGUACUACACCAGCAAGGCAGCGGAGUACUACACCAGCAAGGCAGCGGAGUACUACACCAGCAAGGCAGCGGAGUACUACACC
Long non-coding RNA from Daphnia pulicaria, 1187 nucleotides. RefSeq lists it as uncharacterized. The record is from RefSeq and is a predicted model, not a curated record. The transcript is spliced from 3 exons. Lineage: Eukaryota; Metazoa; Arthropoda; Branchiopoda; Diplostraca; Daphniidae.